Molecule: small RNA, 640 nt
Filed under: Arabidopsis thaliana (thale cress)
Lineage: Eukaryota; Viridiplantae; Streptophyta; Magnoliopsida; Brassicales; Brassicaceae
Description: ATSL279220
Source: RNAcentral
AUGUACAACCGAAGAUAUGAGAAGAAAUGAAGUAAUAAAAGCUUCUCUUUCUCACCCAUUCUUUACUUCCCUUUCUUUCUAAGUUAUAUAUAAUACUAGAUUUUAACCCGCGGUACACCGCGGGAACAAUUUAUUUUUUAAAGUUAGUAUACAUAAACGUUUAUAAAUUGUAUCUAUCUAUUUUAUUUUAUAGUUUAUAAUUGUUAUUAAGUAACGUCUUGCCAAACCCGUCUCGUAAAAAAACCAUUUAUUUUAUUAAUAUUGAUCUUAUUUAUGAUAUGUUUAUGAAUUAUUGUCUAAAUAUUUUGUAAUUUUGUAGUAAUUAAAUGCUAUCAAAUGUCUCUGCGGUUUGAUGAUUAUAAUCGAAUUGUUAUAGUUAUGGAGAAAAGCAAUAUCAAAAUGAUAAUUUUGUAGUAAUUAAAUGAUAUUAAAUAUUUUAGAAGUUUUAUUUUAGUAAUUAAUCGUGUAGUUAAUGUGGAGAGAUUUAGGGAAAAUUGUUAAAUGUCAAAUAUCUAAUUCGAAGAUUUUUUUUCUAAUUAUCAAAAACAAACAUUAAAAUCCAGUGGCAGCCAUUGUAAAUAAGUCCCAACUACAAGAUUUAUUUUACAAAAUGGCUGCAAAAAUGUAUAUAUAGAUAUAU